Molecule: transfer RNA, 72 nt
Filed under: Pseudocercospora pini-densiflorae CBS 125139
Lineage: Eukaryota; Fungi; Ascomycota; Dothideomycetes; Mycosphaerellales; Mycosphaerellaceae
Description: tRNA-Arg (TCT) (tRNA-Arg-TCT-2-1)
Rfam family: tRNA
About the family: Transfer RNA (tRNA) molecules are approximately 80 nucleotides in length.
Source: RNAcentral
GGUUUCUUGGCUCAAUCGGUAGAGCGGAUGGCCUCUGUCCAUCAGACCUGAGUUCAAUUCUCAGAGAGACCA